Long non-coding RNA from Xenia sp. Carnegie-2017, 505 nucleotides. RefSeq lists it as uncharacterized. The transcript has 2 exons. The record is from RefSeq and is a predicted model, not a curated record. Lineage: Eukaryota; Metazoa; Cnidaria; Anthozoa; Malacalcyonacea; Xeniidae.
GUCCACUAUUAGUUUGCAUCGAUUGCAUGUACGAUUGGUCAUCAACUGCAACCCAAUCAUGAAUAACUUUGUAAAAGAGUUUGGUAAUAUUAAACAAUUACUGAAUAACGUUGAAUAGAGUAUCGAGAUAUAUGAAGGUCGAGCUGGUGGAUCACUGAAAAUACAAUCUUGUGUACUGUUUUUGAGAAGCCUUCUGUCACUAACAUUUGCAUUCCAGAUAUCUGUGGGUACUUGAUCUUAACUCUAUUUAUACUCAUUAUCAUUUUAGUUUUUUUGAAUGGUAUUUGGUUUGGCAUUUAUUUUUUUCUUAUGCAGUUCAGCCGUUACUUAAUUAUGUUCGUGGACAGCUAUUAUCUAAGUCACCUAACUAGAAUUCAUCAAAUAUGAAUGCUUCUUUUAAAUCUUUUUUAUGAUUGGAUCGCUAUUUUGGGGUAACCAAACAGCAGCUUGGAAAACCUUGUUUGGCCUUAUUUUUAAAGACAAUGUCGAACUCUUUUAUUGUCUA